AAUAUAGUGAUUGACUUUCCAUAAUAAUGUUGAAGAUGGUUAAAUUUUCUUUUUUCUUCUUCUAUUUCUAAAGAUAUUGUUUCAUUGUAGGGACAAUGCUCGCUUUCUUAUGUGAAAUAAAUUAAAAAAAAUAUUAAUGCCAAAAAUUGGAAAAAAAAAAACCUGGUUUAUAGCUGGAGUAGCUAUUAUUUUGAAAUUGAGCAUAGGCUCUUUUGGGAAAGUGCAACCAACUAUUUUAUGUUCCUUAGAGAAAAGGUAGAUCAGCUGAUUGAGUGUAAUAUCAAUAUAUUUUCUUAAAUGAAGAUUUGUUUAGAGAAAGCAAGAAAGAGGGAACAGUAACCAAAAAAAAUAUGAAGAAAAGAGAAAAAAACAGGUUGUUUCUCUGGUUGGUUCAACUUCUUUAUGGGCCCAAAUUUCUUAGUUGAUUCAUGGAAUUGUUAAACAUUUGGUCAAAAAAAAAUGUGUGUAAUGCAAGCAUGGAUUGGGUUUGUGUGUGUGCCCCCCUCAAUAUUCAUACUAAAAAACUUCAUUUGCCAUUGCUUUUGAUGAAGUUUUUAAGAUCAUGUUGUGCUUUGUUCUUGUUCACUGUGCUUGAGCUGCAUUUUCUCUUUUCUUUUUUAUGGCAAUUGGAUUUAGAAAUACUGUACAAGCGCG
This 654-nucleotide unclassified non-coding RNA is filed under the name Hevea brasiliensis (rubber tree). The record is from RNAcentral. Lineage: Eukaryota; Viridiplantae; Streptophyta; Magnoliopsida; Malpighiales; Euphorbiaceae.